Molecule: unclassified non-coding RNA, 320 nt
Filed under: plant metagenome
Description: partial contains 5.8S ribosomal RNA, internal transcribed spacer 2, and large subunit ribosomal RNA
Rfam family: 5.8S ribosomal RNA (bases 1-105)
Source: RNAcentral
GAAAUGCGAUAAGUAAUGUGAAUCACAGAAUUCAGUGAAUCAUCGAAUCUUUGAACGCACAUUGCGCCCGCCAGUAUUCUGGCGGGCAUGCCUGUUCGAGCGUCAUUACAACCCUCAGGCCCCCGGGCCUGGCGUUGGGGAUCGGCGGAAGCCCCCUGCGGGCACAACGCCGUCCCCCAAAUACAGUGGCGGUCCCGCCGCAGCUUCCAUUGCGUAGUAGCUAACACCUCGCAACUGGAGAGCGGCGCGGCCACGCCGUAAAACACCCAACUUCUGAAUGUUGACCUCGAAUCAGGUAGGAAUACCCGCUGAACUUAAGC